AAGACGAACGGUAACAGGAAGCAGCUUGCUGCUUUGCUGACGAGUGGCGGACGGGUGAGUAAUGUCUGGGAAACUGCCUGAUGGAGGGGGAUAACUACUGGAAACGGUGGCUAAUACCGCAUAACGUCGCAAGACCAAAGAGGGGGACCUUCGGGCCUCUUGCCAUCAGAUGUGCCCAGAUGGGAUUAGCUUGUUGGUGAGGUAACGGCUCACCAAGGCGACGAUCCCUAGCUGGUCUGAGAGGAUGACCAGCCACACUGGAACUGAGACACGGUCCAGACUCCUACGGGAGGCAGCAGUGGGGAAUAUUGCACAAUGGGCGCAAGCCUGAUGCAGCCAUGCCGCGUGUAUGAAGAAGGCCUUCGGGUUGUAAAGUACUUUCAGC
RNAcentral lists this ribosomal RNA (385 nucleotides) under Salmonella enterica. Its description in RNAcentral is "bacterial SSU rRNA". It matches the Rfam family "Bacterial small subunit ribosomal RNA", at positions 59 to 440 of the family's 1533-position model. Lineage: Bacteria; Pseudomonadati; Pseudomonadota; Gammaproteobacteria; Enterobacterales; Enterobacteriaceae. The record is from RNAcentral.